This 72-nucleotide transfer RNA is filed under the name Camelus bactrianus (Bactrian camel). It matches the Rfam family "tRNA". From Rfam's summary of the family: Transfer RNA (tRNA) molecules are approximately 80 nucleotides in length. Their secondary structure includes four short double-helical elements and three loops (D, anti-codon, and T loops). The record is from Rfam by way of RNAcentral. Lineage: Eukaryota; Metazoa; Chordata; Mammalia; Artiodactyla; Camelidae. RNAcentral also lists the same sequence under 2 other names.
UAGGGUAUAGCUCAGUGGUAGAGUGCGUGCUUAGCAUGCACAAGGUCCUGCGUUCAAUCCCCAGUAUCUCAC